This is a non-coding RNA of Podarcis lilfordi (Lilford's wall lizard), 79 nucleotides long. The record is from the annotation of a GenBank genome assembly. Lineage: Eukaryota; Metazoa; Chordata; Lepidosauria; Squamata; Lacertidae.
GUAGUAGCUGAGUGGUUGAGCAUUUUAUUGCCAUGCAGAACUUCAUGGAAGGUCCUAUGUUCAAUUCCUAGCAUCUCCU